UGGGGAAUUUUGGACAAUGGGCGCAAGCCUGAUCCAGCCAUGCCGAGUGAGUGAAGAAGGCCUUCGGGUUGUAAAGCUCUUUCGGCGGGGACGAAAUGGUUCGUGCCAAUACCACGGACUGAUGACGGUACCUGAAGAAGAAGCACCGGCUAACUACGUGCCAGCAGCCGCGGUAAUACGUAGGGUGCAGGCGUUAAUCGGAAUUACUGGGCGUAAAGCGUGCGCAGGCGGUUUGUUAAGACAGAUGUGAAAUCCCCGGGCUUAACCUGGGAACUGCGUUUGUAACUGGCAGACUGGAGUGUGGCAGAGGGGGGUGGAAUUCCAAGUGUAGCAGUGAAAUGCGUAGAUAUUUGGAGGAACACCGAUGGCGAAGGCAGCCCCCUGGGCUAACACUGACGCUCAUGCACGAAAGCGUGGGGAGCAAACAGGAUUAGAUACCCCGGUAGUCCCUGAGCGGGCUGGCAAGGCGCAU
Molecule: ribosomal RNA, 472 nt
Filed under: uncultured bacterium
Lineage: Bacteria
Description: bacterial SSU rRNA
Rfam family: Bacterial small subunit ribosomal RNA
Source: RNAcentral